ACAGGGCCUGUGACGCAGUCAGGCCUAUUUCGCUGCUGAAAGGGGAGGUUUGUGCUCUGGCUGGUGGCAGGGUCCGUGCAGAACCAAGGUGUACUACGUCCCAUUCCCUGCGGCUGCCAAGGCUCGUGGUAUAUGUGGGGUAUAUAGGGGUUGAGAACAUCCAUAGAGGGACCUGCACCCUCACUCAGCGGACCCCGAGCCGCUUGGUGUCUGCACCGCAUGCUCUAGACUGGCCAGGCCUAUGCACGCUCGGCGCUGGGGUCCCCUGGAAGCCCUGAUCGCGUCUGCACUGGAGCCCAGGGAUCCCACUGAGUUGUCCUCACCCUGUCCACGGGCUCUGCCUGGGGCCACCGUGACUUCCCCGGCCCUCCGCAUACGGCCCUGCAGCGGAGACUCACGUGGACCAGGCCAUCUUCUGUGGUCCCCAGGCUCAGUGUCAAGGUUGCUGACUUUAGGCGAGUCCCCAGCCUCUGUGCAGGGAGGGGGUUGUCCCGGUAUCAGUGGAGGCCACCCGUGAGCCAUGCCACCCUGCCCAGUUCCAGAAGGUGACUCCCUUAGGGUUGAUGGGAUUAAGGGUUUUUUCCCUCCAGAUAGAGAAUAAGAUGGAAUUGGAAAUAAUGUAGAAAGUCAAACCACUGUCUGAGGUCCAAGGAGUGAAUAUAAAAAUGCUCAGGCAUUUCUAAUUUAUCAGUGAAUAGUAGGUACAGAUAGAACUGCCUUGCGGGCUUCCCCCUGGGGGUCACCAGAGCCUGUGGGACAGACACAUCUGUGGUGUGUUCCCUCUCAGCUCCAGAGUCUUCCAGGCACUGGCUGUGCAGAAAAUCACUGUGUCCGUGGUGCAGUGUUGAGCAGAUGCCGAAGGGCUGUGGAGGGCGAUAACACAGCGUGCUCUCUGGAUGAGCGUGCCUGAAGUCGGCUGUCCGUUGUCACUUGUGAUGGGCGUCCUGUGAGCAGCUCGUUCAAGGGGAGACUUUGGAAUGAGAAGACAACCACGGCUCCCAACUGAAUAAGACGCUCAGGGUCCUGCGAGCAGGUGUUCUUUCCCGUCUCAGACACAUUUCCUUCUGGCAGAGCCUUAACCCACGAGCAGAACCAUGGCAGUGCAUCUAGUAAACCGGGUCUGUUUAUACCAUUUAGGAGGCAGCAUUAGGUGCAUGGAAAAUGGAUUUUCCUUCCUAGUAAAAUGUAACUUUCUGUGCAUUGUUCAGUGUGGGGAAUUACUACACAUGCAUCAAAAAUGCCAACUUGCUGGUAUUGUUAUAGCGUGGUGACAGAGCAGACUUGCUGCUUAUUCAUUCUGUGGCUCUGGGUCUGCUCUCUCAUCCGCGAAGCGGAGAUGGUCUGUGACCGCAGGCUCAUUGGCGGGAGUGCCUGGCAUGGGGUUGGCACAGGACUGAUGGCCCCUGUCACUGCAGAUGGCCAAGAAGAGGGCAGAGCUGGGAGACGUGUGCCCCGGGCGUCCUGGUGCUGCACAUGGCACCCUUGGCAUUGCUAAGACCCUAUCAGGUGGGGCAGCCUGGAACAUGGACACCUGCUUGUUCGGAGGCCAGCCAGGCUGGUAGGGGGGCCACGAGGCAUCGGCCUGUCAUCCUGUGUGGGGCCUGUCUGAGCUGCAGUUCAGCAACGCUGCAGCCCUGCACGGGACCAGAGUACCGGACUCCACUCUUCUUCCUUAAACGAGACGUGCAGUGGAAUGAACGCGGAACACACCGGGGCUAAUUGGGAUCUCCUAAAGAGAGCCAUGAAGCCCAGGUUGGUGUUUGUUGUCUUUUUAUUGCUAUGUUUCGGGGAAGCAGUGCUCAUGUCAGGACUCCCGGCACUUAUAUGAAAG
This is a long non-coding RNA of Mustela putorius furo (domestic ferret), 1831 nucleotides long. NCBI's taxonomy places the organism in Eukaryota, Metazoa, Chordata, Mammalia, Carnivora, Mustelidae. The record is from Ensembl.